AACAUGAGUUUCGGCAGGUUCUAGUGGCGGACGGGUGAGUAACGCGUGGGUACCUGCCUUAUACAGGGGGAUAACAGUCAGAAAUGACUGCUAAUACCGCAUAAGACCGCAUGGUAAAAACUCCGGUGGUAUAAGAUGGACCCGCGUUGGAUUAGCUUGUUGGUGGGGUAACGGCUCACCAAGGCGACGAUCCAUAGCCGGCCUGAGAGGGUGAACGGCCACAUUGGGACUGAGACACGGCCCAGACUCCUACGGGAGGCAGCAGUGGGGAAUAUUGCACAAUGGGGGAAACCCUGAUGCAGCGACGCCGCGUGAAGAAGAAGUAUCUCGGUAUGUAAAUUCUAUCAGCAGGGAAGAUAGUGACGGUACCUGACUAAGAAGCCCCGGCUAACUACGUGCCAGCAGCCGCGGUAAUACGUAGGGGGCAAGCGUUAUCCGGAUUUACUGGGUGUAAAGGGAGCGUAGACGGACUGGCAAGUCUGAUGUGAAAGGCGGGGGCUCAACCCUGGACUGCAUUGGAAACUGUUAGUCUUGAGUGCCGGAGAGGUAAGCGGAAUUCCUAGUGUAGCGGUGAAAUGCGUAGAUAUUAGGAGGAACACCAGUGGCGAAGGCGGCUUACUGGACGGUAACUGACGUUGA
This 639-nucleotide ribosomal RNA is filed under the name uncultured bacterium. Its description in RNAcentral is "bacterial SSU rRNA". It matches the Rfam family "Bacterial small subunit ribosomal RNA", at positions 76 to 749 of the family's 1533-position model. The record is from RNAcentral.